GGAUUAGAAAGGGUAGUUGAGCAAGAUUCCCAGCUCUCUGCUCCUCACAUCCACUGAAAGAUGUCUGGGGGUGAGAUGCACAAGGACUCAUUCAUGUGAGCAACUCUCCUGGUGUGGCUAUUGAUUAAAGGGGAAGAGGAAACAGAGGCACAGCAAUGCACAGAGAAGGCUCUGUGCUUGUUUAUGAAAAGAAUGAUACUCUACUGAAAUGAAGAAGGUGGGGGAGAGACAAGGCAGUCUGAUAAAGAAGAGAAAGAGAGGGCAGGCAGGGAGCUGAGACACUGGGAAAGAGAGAAUGGAGACAGAAGGAAGAGAAAGAAGACAUACACGGCAGCUUGGCCAAGCCGGAGCUCGGGCGCAGUAUCGCGCCAGUGAUGUCACCGGAACCCUGUACGGCACGGCGGCAGCAAGGACACGGAGUGGUAACUGAAGAUGGCUUUGACAAAAGAGGAGAGAAUUUAUGUCAUUUUGAUGUCUGGAGAACAAUGUUUCCAUGUCAUAGCUGCAGAUUUUAACAACUGCCACCCAGAAAGACCUCCAAUUUCACAUAACACUAUCAGGUGCCUAAUUUCCAAAUUCCGAGAAACUGGGACUGUGGCUGACAAGUCACGGAGUGGUCAUCCAAAAAGUGCUACUGACGAGACAACCUCAAGAAUGGUUUUGGCAUCCUUCAUGAAGAGGCCACAAUGCAGCACAACACCCACACAUUAAAUUACUGUCAUUUGUGGAGAACAGUUCAGCCUGUAAUUCCAACAUAAAAGUGUUGUAACUUUUGAACCAUAACUGCUACUUCAAAUCUAUUUGCAGCAAUAAACUUUUCAGCAAAUUUGACUUGUUACACGACCCCCUCUCCAUUUGAAAAAAUUGACUUAGAUUCAAGAUGGCCAAUUUCAAGAUGGCACCCAUGUUCAGUACAUACCCUGAAAGAUAGCCCACCUCACCCAUACCCAGGCGUGGAUUGGGAACAAAAAGCGGCCCUGGAAAAAUUUGUACUAGUGGCCCCACAUGGGCAGCACCAGAGGUGUAAGGUCUAGCCAUGGGCCAUGGCAGCAGCACCCUCCCCCCCAAGACUUUCCAGAUAGUGGGCAUGUCCAGCACCAUGGGGGGAGUUAAAAAUAAAUAAAAAUUAAAUAUUAUGAGCACAUUAUAUGAUACACCUUCAGAAUUUAGGAAACUAUAUCAUUCUUUAGAAAGAUAUUUUUUCUUGCAUAUUACACCAAACGUAUUUCAAUCACUAUUCACUCAAUCUUAUAUGUCAGCCAAGCAGGCAGACAGAGCAUACACUAGAUCAUCUGCAAUCACAGGCUAAGUGGCAAAGUAAUUUUCAUAUAUGCAAAUUAUUUGCAUCUUAUUCAUUAUGUCUAUAAAAAGGACCACAUGUCGUCAAACAAAACAGGCCCCACUGGUGCGUCGGCCCACCGGGAACCUUCCCUGUAAACCCUAUGGCCAGUCCGCCUCUGCCCAUACCUUACUGGAGUAUUUAGUUUUCUCAUUUCCUGCACUUUUUUUUUUUUUAAAGUGUGUACUGCGACUUUUGAAUCAACCUGUAUAUAUAUAUUUCCCCCUUCUUGUCCUAUUAAAAACACCAUAUUAUUUUCAUAACAAACGCCAACCACUUUUCUAAAGAUAUAAAAUAAAACACUGAUAUAAUAAUCAAAUGAAGUUAAAAACACAAAUUAUGUAUAGUCAGUAUACAACCUGACAUGUAAUGGGUAACUAGUACUAUCUUCAGUAUGUUUAUUUAAGUUGUACUUUGCAUUGAUUCUAAAACACCUGAAAGCAUGAUAUUGAUAAUAGUGAAACUUGUUUUUUUUAUCACUCUUGACAGACAGACAGACAGACAGAUAGAUAGAUAGAUAGAUAGAUAGAUAGAUAGAUAGAUAGAUAGAUAGAUAGAUAGAUAGAUAGAUAGAGAUAUAUAGACCACUGCAAGGAAAUUGGUUUGGUCCCAAAUCCUCUAUAUACCACAUUCAUGCGCUUAACUUGAGAGUUUGUUGUUCAGUUACAAUACCCUUUAUUUAAUAACACAAUUCAAUAUACUGCCAUACCCAGGAUUCAAACCUAUAACCUGCUGAAUUCUAAUCAAACACCCUUCUCAGAAGAAAUCUCAAGUUGAGUUCAUGAAUGUUGUAUAGGUAUUAGCGACAGAAGGGGUCAGGGUAGUAGACAGGUGCAGUCAGGAGAUGUUGGGCUUCAAAAAGGGGGCGAGCUGCAAGUGAAAGUAAUUAAAACAGAUAAUUGACAAGUGCCACCAACAGCGCCCCCUACCUUUUUCAGCACUAUGUGCAGUGCCCCCUCCACAUACACCUAGUUACUGCCCAUUGGUUUGUUUAUAAUCAGACUGCUCUAAAUUAUUGAUAAAUAUGUAGAAAUGUAUAAGUGUACUGUAUUUGUCAUGGCAAUUAUUCCUCAUGGAACAUAAUGCUGUGAACAGAUAUACUUUGGAAUGUGCCUAUUUUCAAAUUAUCCCCCCUCCUUAUUUCCCUUCUACAUUCAUAAGGUAUGCUGAAAGUCUGAUAGCCUUUGAUUGUGUCUGUCAACCAUACUAGUUUAUUCUCCAGAGAGAUUUAAAAAAAAGAGAUAAUUAUUUGUAGGAUUAUAGCAUGUUUAAAGGUACUAAACUUUCUAUUUAAAUAAUAAAAAUACACAUAAUUGGUAUUGCUGAUGUAA
Long non-coding RNA from Pseudophryne corroboree (corroboree frog), 2670 nucleotides. RefSeq lists it as uncharacterized. The transcript is spliced from 3 exons. The record is from RefSeq and is a predicted model, not a curated record. Lineage: Eukaryota; Metazoa; Chordata; Amphibia; Anura; Myobatrachidae.